Long non-coding RNA from Dreissena polymorpha, 472 nucleotides. RefSeq lists it as uncharacterized. The transcript has 3 exons. Lineage: Eukaryota; Metazoa; Mollusca; Bivalvia; Myida; Dreissenidae. The record is from RefSeq and is a predicted model, not a curated record.
UCUGUGGAAUAAUCGCGGAGAGUGAUUCAUUAGUAGUUUGCAUAUUAACUUAAGUAAUGUGGAGAUUUAAAAUGUGUGCACUGUACUUGUCUGUUUAAGGUAAUUGUAUUUGGGAUUAAUUGGAGUAUUGAAAUGAUGAUCAAAUGUGAAAUUACACGUUCACGUUACAAUGACCGAUGUUUAUUCACAACAUUGUCAGGCCAGAUAACCAUGUCCAUGUUUGACUUGUGUCAGUGACCAUGUGAUUCACGGCUUCCAUUGCUGUGGAGUGCAUUGAACGACAUCAUGGCCUAGAAGAACAUACCCGGGGAUAAUACCAGCAGCAACAAGUACCACGCAACCGCCAAAAUGCACGCCGCCAUUUUGAAGCAUGUCUGAGUGAACCGAUGGUUUCCAUGGAUUCCAUGAAGAUUCAAUUGAUUUGUUGGUUUUUAAUUGUCCAAUUAUUUUUAAAAAUAAACAUUUUGGUGAA